Molecule: long non-coding RNA, 1071 nt
Filed under: Marmota monax (woodchuck)
Lineage: Eukaryota; Metazoa; Chordata; Mammalia; Rodentia; Sciuridae
Source: RNAcentral
AAGUCAAUUGCCAAGUCUUUGGCAUUCUGCUGACCCUAUGCAGACUAUAAAAAUGUAGACCAACUUUAGUGAGUCUGAGGUAAACUUGCUAUAGUUUGUAUCUUGAAUGUCUCCCAAAUGCCCAGGUAUUACAGGACUAAAUGAAAUAAAAACAUGAUCAGCUCUCUCUGAAAUUAUACCUUACAUUUUAGCUACUCCUGGAUUGGCCCCCAGGGGUGGCUCUACUGGGAGGUAGUGGAAAAUUUAAGAGGUAGGACUUAGUCUUUAGGUAAUUCAGGGUGUCCCCUCAAGGGGAACAUCAACCCUCAGGUCCCUUCUGGUUCUCUUUUAUUUUCCUACCAUGAGGUUUGGCUCUACCAUACACUCCUGCCAUGAUGUGCUGCUUCAAUCCAGGCCCAAAGCAACAGGGCCAACUGAUUAUGAACUCCAAAAUUGUUAGCCAAAAUAAAACUUUUCUUGUUACAAAUUGAAUAUCUCAGGCAUUUAUUAUAGUGACAAAAAGUUGAUGAAUACAGAAGCCAAUAUAAUUCCCUCUACCACCUCAGGAAAUUAUGUUCAUACACAAAUGGCUAAACCUAGAAAUAUAAAUAGUUAUCAUAACAAAUGUAUCAGAUUAGUAUUUUCAGCACAAACAUUCUUAAGAAAUAAUAAGGAAGGAAGAUCUAUGACUUCAUUAUGAAAUAAUUACAAAUAAUAUGCUUCAAUACAUGAUUACAUUUACUGGAUGCAAAAACAAACUGGAAAGAAAAUGAAAAAAAUCAUUAAUAAUUGAAUAGAAACUAUAAAUAUCUAGAUAUAAAUAUCAGACUUUCUAUCUAAAUAAUGGAACACAGUUUCUACUUUGUAACCAUAGGUUUGGCCUUGUGCAUAUAGAUCCUGUCUGUUUUACAUCCAAAGAAAAAACAAUGAAGGAGUUGGUUCUAAUUCUGUCUCUUGCUGAGAAAGCUAAAGCUGAAAACAAAUAGUUAAUAUUUACCUGUCAAGAAAGCAAGCAUUUCAGGGCAGUGAGCUGUUAUCUUGGCAUAAACCUGAAAUUGGAAAAAAAAUACAGAAGUAAAGUGAAUUAUAGAA